RNAcentral lists this ribosomal RNA (253 nucleotides) under uncultured bacterium. RNAcentral describes it as "partial 16S ribosomal RNA". It matches the Rfam family "Bacterial small subunit ribosomal RNA", at positions 524 to 776 of the family's 1533-position model. The record is from RNAcentral.
UACGUAGGGGGCAAGCGUUGUCCGGAAUUAUUGGGCGUAAAGAGCGUGUAGGCGGUCCGGUAAGUCGGCUGUGAAAGUCCAGGGCUCAACCCUGGGAUGCCGGUCGAUACUGCCGGACUAGAGUUCGGAAGAGGCGAGUGGAAUUCCCGGUGUAGCGGUGAAAUGCGCAGAUAUCGGGAGGAACACCUAUGGCGAAGGCAGCUCGCUGGGACGUUACUGACGCUGAGACGCAAAAGCGUGGGGAGCAAACAGG